This 424-nucleotide ribosomal RNA is filed under the name Verrucomicrobiota bacterium. Its description in RNAcentral is "Verrucomicrobia bacterium partial 16S ribosomal RNA". It matches the Rfam family "Bacterial small subunit ribosomal RNA", at positions 355 to 776 of the family's 1533-position model. The record is from RNAcentral. Lineage: Bacteria; Pseudomonadati; Verrucomicrobiota.
UGAGGAAUAUUGGUCAAUGGACGAGAGUCUGAACCAGCCAAGUAGCGUGCAGGAUGACGGCCCUAUGGGUUGUAAACUGCUUUUGUUUGGGAAUAAUCGACAUUACGUGUAAUGUUUUGCAUGUACCAUUCGAAUAAGGACCGGCUAAUUCCGUGCCAGCAGCCGCGGUAAUACGGAAGGUCCAGGCGUUAUCCGGAUUUAUUGGGUUUAAAGGGCGUGUAGGCGGUUGGUUAAGCGUGUUGUGAAAUGUAGAUGCUCAACAUCUGACUUGCAGCGCGAACUGGCUGACUUGAGUACACACAACGUAGGCGGAAUUCAUGGUGUAGCGGUGAAAUGCUUAGAUAUCAUGAAGAACUCCGAUUGCGAAGGCAGCUUACGGGAGUGUUACUGACGCUUAAGCUCGAAGGUGCGGGUAUCGAACAGG